CCUUUAGAUACCCGGGUAGUCCACGCCGUAAACGAUGUCUACUAGCUGUAGGGGUACUUGAGACCUUUGUAGCGCAGCUAACGCACUAAGUAGACCGCCUGGGGAGUACGGCCGCAAGGUUAAAACUCAAAUGAAUUGACGGGGGCCCGCACAAGCAGUGGAGCAUGUGGUUUAAUUCGAUGCAACGCGAAGAACCUUACCAGGCCUUGACAUCCUCGGAACUUUCUAGAAAUAGAUUGGUGCCUUCGGGAACCGAGUGGCAGGUGCUGCAUGGCCGCCGUCAG
RNAcentral lists this ribosomal RNA (284 nucleotides) under uncultured bacterium. Its description in RNAcentral is "partial 16S ribosomal RNA". It matches the Rfam family "Bacterial small subunit ribosomal RNA", at positions 773 to 1058 of the family's 1533-position model. The record is from RNAcentral.